RNAcentral lists this long non-coding RNA (271 nucleotides) under Vulpes vulpes (red fox). RNAcentral's name for it is "lncRNA (ENSVVUG00000004540.1)". Lineage: Eukaryota; Metazoa; Chordata; Mammalia; Carnivora; Canidae. The record is from RNAcentral.
GAAAGGGCUCCAUAAUGAAUCUUCUGGCAGGUUUGAGAGAAAGAAGCAGCUGGGUACUCAUGGCAGUAAAACAUAGUGGAACCUACUGUGUCUGAAAUCCCAUGACAAGCAAGGAAGCACUCUGCAGGCAUGAUCAGGAGAGGAGGAGAGGGCAGGAGAAUGAGUCACUGCAGGAUAAUGUCACUGAGGAAGGUGGAGGCUCUCUGGAAGCUGCACAGGGGUUAAGAAGUAAGAUGUUGGAGAUAUAACCAAAGGAAUUGAUUGAGUGUAA